Molecule: small RNA, 242 nt
Filed under: Oryza sativa Japonica Group (Japanese rice)
Lineage: Eukaryota; Viridiplantae; Streptophyta; Magnoliopsida; Poales; Poaceae
Description: misc RNA Os05g0378900
Source: RNAcentral
UUUGCAUUUGUUUUUUUUAUGGAAAUAAAGGUGUUCAAAGUACAGACUCUUUCUCCUAGCUCCUAUUAUGUUGUGAAGUGUGUGAUAUGAUUGAUCAUUGUACAUCUAUUAGUCCUGUUGUUCCAUCUGCCUGCUUGACUACAAGCAUGGGAAUUUUGCAUGCGCGGCACGCUGAUCACUUGCCAGUUGUAUGUAUGAUCUUUGGUGCUAAAUCACCCGAAAUGAAGGAAUUUUACCUACUC